AAGUCGUAACAAGGUUUCCGUAGGUGAACCUGCGGAAGGAUCAUUAACACGUAUCCAAACGUUAAACAACCCCGUGAACAUACAACCUGCUCUGGUCGCCCGACAGCGAUUCAUAGAAGCGGUAGGUCAAGUGACACGGCGUCCCCAAGUGACCAGUGAAUGAAAGUGUCGCUGGAGCGUCAAGGACGACUCUUCAAGAUUGCUAGAGGUCGACCACCGACCGGCUUCCGUGUAUACCGAGCUAACACCGCUCCCUUCCGAACCCCACUUUAUUGCCUUGCCUGUAAGCAUCCAUACGGAUGGGCAGGCCCCCCGAACAACUGUUAACAAUGGAUAUCUUGGUUCUC
Molecule: unclassified non-coding RNA, 347 nt
Filed under: fungal sp.
Lineage: Eukaryota; Fungi
Description: partial internal transcribed spacer region
Rfam family: Eukaryotic small subunit ribosomal RNA (bases 1-46)
Source: RNAcentral